This 556-nucleotide long non-coding RNA is filed under the name Phascolarctos cinereus (koala). Its description in RNAcentral is "lncRNA (ENSPCIG00000019420.2)". Lineage: Eukaryota; Metazoa; Chordata; Mammalia; Diprotodontia; Phascolarctidae. The record is from RNAcentral.
CCCCCCCCGUAGGAUCCUUGAGCGGUUGCAGCGGCAGCCAACUGCUCCAUAUUUGGCUUCUAUUACACAUUUACAUACUGGAGCAAGCGAGCAAGCAAGAGAGAGAGGGAGGGAGGGAGAGAGAGGGAAAGGGGGGGUGGAGGGAGGAGGGAGAGAGGGAGGGGAGUGGAGGAGGAGGAGAGAGCAGUGUAUACCGCAGACAUCAUUUCUACUACAGUGGCAGAGACGUCCAGGACCUGUUUCACUGCAGGGGGAUAAAAAACAAGCCCUGUGGAUCAGCAACAGCAGCAGCAAGCAGCAACAGCCGCCGCAAGACAUUGUUUCUCUCCCUCUGCCCCCCUUCCCCAAGCAACCCCAGAUCCAUUUACACUUUACACUGCAUCACAAGGCAAGCCAGCAGGGUGGUCCAUUCGAACUUUGGAUUUAUUCAUGGUCUUUGUACAGCAGCCCCUUCUCCCAUCAUCACUACUGGGAAGUGUACUAUAAAUCAGCAUAUUGGAGCACAAUGAAAGAGUUUAUUCCCAGGCCUCAGGAGAAGUUCAGCUGCACCCAGUGA